UCAAAAACAUGUCCUUUUGUUAAUAAUUUAAGGUCUGACCUGCCCAAUGAAUAUUUAAAUGGCCGCAGUAUUUUGACUGUGCAAAGGUAGCAUAAUCAUUAGUUUUUUAAUUGUAACCUUGAAUGAAUGGUUUGAUGAGAAAAUAACUGUCUCAGUUUAAUUGUUUUAGAAUUUUAAUUUUAAGUGAAAAAGCUUAAAUUUUUAAGGAAGACGAGAAGACCCUAUAGAGUUUAAUAAUUUUUUAUUAUGGUUGGUUUUAGAUUUAUUUAAAAUUUUGAUACAAAAUUAUUUUGUUGGGGUGACAUUAAAAUUUAAUAAACUUUUAAUUUAUUAUAACAUUUUUUUUGAUUAUUUGAUCCUAAUUUUUAGAUUAUAAGAUAAAAUUACCUUAGGGAUAACAGCGUAAUUUUUUUUAAAAUUCUUAAUCAAAAAAAAAGUUUGCGACCUCGAUGU
Molecule: ribosomal RNA, 453 nt
Filed under: Callyntra tortuosa
Lineage: Eukaryota; Metazoa; Arthropoda; Insecta; Coleoptera; Tenebrionidae
Description: partial large subunit ribosomal RNA
Source: RNAcentral